CUUGGUCUUAAAUUUCCUUGAUUUCUUCCUUGCUUGUGAAAAUCGAACAUAUACUGUAGAGAAAAUAGGUUUAUACACUGCAAGUACGAUACAUUGAACAAAGAUGAUUCCUCCCAAAAAACAAAUCAACACUUAUUCUUUAUUUGUGUUGUAAUAAAGAUAAUAAAUAACUUGCAACUGGACCCAAUAAUAUUUUCCUCGCUCGAGCAACGUUCUGUACUUUUAGCUAAGACGCCUGUUUCUUCAUACGUCAAAAGUCUUUCUGUUUUCUACAAAUAUGCGUUGGUUUGAACCUUCAUGUAUCAUUUAAAUACGCAACUGCUUCGAAAUGCGGAACCAAAGCAGUGCGACUCACCUCCGGCUGCCAGUGUUGCCCAGACUGUUGUAGUGAGUGUGUGUUAGAUUAUGUGUCUUCUCGAACUCUUGAGCAAUGGUGGAGGUGAGACAAUACUGCCGAAGCCAAUUUCCUGCGGCCUAAUAGAUGUGAUGAGCAGAUGGUGACUACACGUGGGAAUAAACUGAAGGAAAGCUGCUCGCUGGUGCCUCGCUCUAUUGAAGUGACAGGUGGCGCUGGGGAGUUACCACGGCGAGCGGCUGGCUGGCUGCAGUGUUUUGGUCAGCACUGGUCAAUCUUGCCCUACACGCUCUAUUAACCAGUGUUUCCGUCUUCCCGACACCUUCUUCCUGCACCAAGCACCGUCAAGCAUCACCAGAGAGGCACGAGUACGUAAGCUAUCCAACAUCAGAACAGUAUAUGAAUAUGGCAAAUGCUGUUUUGACAUCAUUUCCUGCCAUCCUGAGAAACAGUGAUCUCGAGGAGCAUGAAUUGCAGCUGCAAUGGAAAUUGCGCAUCCAGCGCAAGUUUCAGAAUUCAAGAGGCAGGAUUCCUCAGUGACUGAGGUGACGUCAAGGAAAAAGAAGAUCCCUUGCAUAGCGCCAAAAGAGACUACGUGUCCACUGAUGUAUGGAGUAAAGGCUUACCUUCCACCAAGACCCCAUUCAGAAGAUGAUGAAUCAUUAGAGAGACAUAGACAGUGGCUUGCUCUACAUUGGAUGAAGAAAGAUCCCGAGUUAGAUAAGAUAAUCAAGGAGUUCCUGAGAUUAGAACCACAAGCGGAUGAACCAGACCCAAGAGUAGCAGUUUUGAAAGGGCUGGAGAAAUACGAGUAUAGGCUCCCAAUAAUUGCCAUUCUCAAAAAAAGAAAAGCAGUUCCUCUGUAUAUGGAAACCUUACUUGAACUCUAUGACCACGAUGAAAGUCAAUGCGAGUAAUGUCUAGUUCAAUUUGUUCAUUUCAGUAGCUGGUAGCAAUUUAAUAUAUGUAUCUUUUCAUCAUUAGCAAUGCAUCUUUCACUUUUAUAAGCCUAGUAUUCAUGAAACUAUGCUGCAUGCAAAAACCAAACAUUGUAUUAAGCAUGACCUAUCUAACUGUAAUGCUUGCACCAAUUUCUAUAAAGGUACUAAUUUAAUUGUUAAAUUCCUGCUCUUCUAUCCAAUUUUUGGCUGAGUGCUAUGGCUAAAUAAUUGUUUGCAGCAUAAGUGAUGUUAAAGAUUUUAAUAGGUGUAAAGCAUCUCUCUCUCUCUCUCUCUCUCUCUCUCUCUCUCUCUCUCUCUCUCUCUCUCUCUCUCUCUCUCUCUCUCUCUCUCUCUCUCUCUCUCUCUCUCUCUCUCUCUCUCUCUCUCUCUCUCUCUCUCUCUCUCUCGUAAGGAAAGACAUUAUUUCUAGUGUAAAUAAACCCAAUAGGCUGUCCAAUUUGAAAUUUAAAAUGUAAAUAUUAUCAAUCUUUUUAGAAAUGUUAGCUGCAUCCUCUUCCCUUGCAGUCCAAUAAGACAGGUCACUAAUUCGUGUGGAGAUAGAAUUCUUGGAGUCGACUUUGCCGGCACUAGCGCAAGUGCAAACAGUCUGAUGAAGGUUUCUUCCAUGGUUGUGAUGAAGUUCAGGACUUCUCACACUGUUUUGGUGGAUAUGAUGAGAAGAAUCGGGAGUUCGGAACAUCAGUGCGUUAUGUCGGGGCAUGUAGGUUCGGCUGGGGUUUUCUUUCUUUCUUUCUUUCUUUUUUUUUUCGAUCAGUACUCAUCAUAUUCUUACGAGGACUUGCUAGACAAAGCACUAUUGCAUUAUGAUAUUACCCAAAUAGUGUCUCAAGUAAAAAACAUAAUCGCAUACUCGUACAAAAGAUUUGCUGCUGUGACACAAAGGACAAAAAUCAUUAGUAUACUGGUCGUUCUGAGCAUUCAAUCAAAAUGCUUGUCAUUCAUAUAAUUAGUAGAACCAUCGAGGAGCUUUACUUUUGUUAAUUCUUAUAUGAUAAAGCAAUAAUUACAGGAGACUUUUAAAAGACUGGUACUCAAAUUAGUGGACUGUCCUAUUGGAUGUGACCAUAUCUUCACUUUUUCCUUACACAGUUAAUUUUCUUUUGUUUAUUUGAUUUACUUAUUAUCAUAUUUAUUUAUAUAUUUAUUUAUUUGCACCAGAUGCUUGCUUAGUUAUAUUGGGGUUACUUCACCUGCUUGGAGAAAGGAAAGACUCCAUUUUUACUAAGGUACCAGAAGAAGAACUAAGAACAGGGCAGUCUAGUGUGUAUUUGAUGGUGCACCUGUAGCUGAACCAACAUGUAUUUCUAUGGCUGUAGUCUCAUUGGUAGCAGGGCUUUGUGUUUGAUAUUGAACACCCAAAAAAUUGUGAACAUUUCCUCCGUUUCACAACAUCCCAUCUCUUAGGUAUCAAGUAUGACAAAGGUAACACUUCAAAAACAAGAUCUCUACGUGUAAAACUCAAUGAAGUAAAGACAGAAUUGAGCUACAAAAAUGCAUAAAUCUGCUUCCAAAUAUAUUCAACUCCACACAUAAUGCCUCUCUCUCUCUCUCUCUCUCUCUCUCUCUCUCUCUCUCUCUCUCUCUCUCUCUCUCUCUCUCUCUCUCUCUCUCUCUCUCUCUCUCUCUCUCUCUCUCUCUCUCUCUCUCUCUCUCUCUCUCUCUCUCUCUCUCUCUCUCUCUCUCUCUCUCUCUCUCUCUCUCUCUCUCUCUCUCUCUCUCUCUCCAAAUUGGGAAGUAUUCUUCAUGUACCAUAUGAUGCAUAUAUUUUUAUUUAUUUUUUUAUAUACAUUUUUUACCUUUUUUUUUUAUUUCUGUAUGUUAUUGCAAGUGAUACGUGAAGCUUCUUUAUUACUGUUCUGAGCAUUUCUGUAGAUUUGUUUAGUUAGUAUAUCCCAUAGAAAUACUCAUUUUCUUUUUUUGUGUGGCUUUAAAGGAAAAAUGGUGACAUAUGGAUAUGAUCUGGGUUAAAAGCUUGUACAAAUAAGGUUAAAUGUCUAUUUUUGCACUGGUUGUUUCCCUAAGUUUCUUAAAAGUACCGUGAUAUAAUGAUUAGCAGUGGACUAAUUAAUUGUUCUUUACAGGGUCUGUAACUCCUUACAUUUAAUUUAUGUUAACUUUACUUACAUAUUUUUUCCUUUAGUUUAUGAAUGGGAGGAAGGUUUAAUAUUCAUAUCUUAAGAGAUGCUUACUUUCUUUUCCACAUUGCAAGUUUUAGUGAUUAAUACUCACAAAUGUGUAUUAUUUACUUAAUGGCUUGUCAAAACAGGUUGUUUUUGUGUUGCUUUUUUUUUUCUCAUGCUAGGAUGAAGUGUUACUAAUGGAAUUUAUUUUUUACAUCUGUUUUAUAUAUCAUUACAGUUUUGAGGGGAGCUUUCUGUUAAAUGUUCAAGUGAAAAGCAUACUAUACUAUAGAUGAUAAAAAUUAUAGUGUUUAUUUUUUUAUUAUUAUUUUUUUUUUUAAUGCAAUGAAAUGGAGGGAACAUUUAAUUGUAUAUG
Long non-coding RNA from Scylla paramamosain (green mud crab), 3813 nucleotides. RefSeq lists it as uncharacterized. Lineage: Eukaryota; Metazoa; Arthropoda; Malacostraca; Decapoda; Portunidae. The record is from RefSeq and is a predicted model, not a curated record. The transcript has 6 exons.